This 984-nucleotide ribosomal RNA is filed under the name Neottiella rutilans. Its description in RNAcentral is "SSU rRNA". It matches the Rfam family "Eukaryotic small subunit ribosomal RNA", at positions 87 to 1082 of the family's 1831-position model. The record is from RNAcentral. Lineage: Eukaryota; Fungi; Ascomycota; Pezizomycetes; Pezizales; Pyronemataceae.
CUGCGAAUGGCUCAUUAAAUCAGUUAUCGUUUAUUUGAUAGUACUUUACUACUUGGAUAACCGUGGUAAUUCUAGAGCUAAUACAUGCUAAAAAUCCCGACCUCUGGAAGGGAUGUAUUUAUUAGAUAAAAAACCAGCGCCUCCGGGCUUCUUGGUGAUUCAUGAUAACUUUACGAAUCGCAUGGCCUUGUGCCGGCGAUGGUUCAUUCAAAUUUCUGCCCUAUCAACUUUCGAUGGUAGGAUAGUGGCCUACCAUGGUUUCAACGGGUAACGGGGAAUUAGGGUUCGAUUCCGGAGAGGGAGCCUGAGAAACGGCUACCACAUCCAAGGAAGGCAGCAGGCGCGCAAAUUACCCAAUCCCGACACGGGGAGGUAGUGACAAUAAAUACUGAUACAGGGCCCUUUUGGGUCUUGUAAUUGGAAUGAGUACAAUUUAAAGCCUUUAACGAGGAACAAUUGGAGGGCAAGUCUGGUGCCAGCAGCCGCGGUAAUUCCAGCUCCAAUAGCGUAUAUUAAAGUUGUUGCAGUUAAAAAGCUCGUAGUUGAACUUUGGGUCUGGGUGACCGGUCCGCCUAUUUGGUGUGCACUGGAAACCCGGAUCUUUCCUUCUGGAGAACCGCAUGCUCUUCACUGGGUGUGUUGGGGAACCAGGACUUUUACUUUGAAAAAAUUAGAGUGUUCAAAGCAGGCAUUUGCUCGAAUACAUUAGCAUGGAAUAAUAAAAUAGGACGUGCGGCCCUAUUUUGUUGGUUUCUAGGACCGCCGUAAUGAUUAAUAGGGAUAGUCGGGGGCAUCCGUAUUCGAUUGUCAGAGGUGAAAUUCUUGGAUUUUUCGAAGACGAACUACUGCGAAAGCAUUUGCCAAGGAUGUUUUCAUUAAUCAGGAACGAAAGUUGAGGGAUCGAAGACGAUCAGAUACCGUCGUAGUCUCAACCAUAAACUAUGCCGACUAGGGAUCGGGCGAUGUUUAAUCAUGACUCGCUCG